AUUGAUCGCUGGCGGCAUGCCUUACACAUGCAAGUCGAACGGUAACAGGUCUUCGGAUGCUGACGAGUGGCGAACGGGUGAGUAAUACAUCGGAACGUGCCUAGUAGUGGGGGAUAACUACUCGAAAGAGUGGCUAAUACCGCAUGAGAUCUACGGAUGAAAGCAGGGGAUCGCAAGACCUUGUGCUACUAGAGCGGCCGAUGGCAGAUUAGGUAGUUGGUGGGAUAAAGCUUACCAAGCCGACGAUCUGUAGCUGGUCUGAGAGGACGAUCAGCCACACUGGGACUGAGACACGGCCCAGACUCCUACGGGAGGCAGCAGUGGGGAAUUUUGGACAAUGGGCGAAAGCCUGAUCCAGCAAUGCCGCGUGCAGGAUGAAGGCCUUCGGGUUGUAAACUGCUUUUGUACGGAACGAAAAGCCCCGGGUUAAUACCCUGGGGUCAUGACGGUACCGUAAGAAUAAGCACCGGCUAACUACGUGCCAGCAGCCGCAGUAA
RNAcentral lists this ribosomal RNA (497 nucleotides) under uncultured bacterium. RNAcentral describes it as "partial 16S ribosomal RNA". It matches the Rfam family "Bacterial small subunit ribosomal RNA", at positions 30 to 523 of the family's 1533-position model. The record is from RNAcentral.